GCGUCAGUUUCCACUCUCAUCGGUUUUUGUAAAUCCACAUGCAGGAGCUGUUGUUCCGAGGCGAAGGCCCUUUUAGUUCCUCAAAUGCUUGCUCCGCCUCCUCCGUCCAAACGAACUUCUUCUUACUGCUGAGACAGUCCGUAAUGGGCGCCGUCAGGUGGGCAAAGUUUGGGAUGAACUUACGAUAGAAGUUCCCAAAUCCUAAAAACCUCUGCACAUCCUUCCUUGUUUUGGGUGUUUUCCAUUCCAGUACCGCCUGGACCUUGCCGGGAUCCAUGGCCAACCCCUUGUCAGACAGGCGAUACCCCAGGAAUUCCACCUCCUUGGUAUGAAACUGACACUUCUCCAGUUUCACCCACAGCUGGUUGGCUUGCAGCCUGCUCAACACUUCUCUGACGUCUCUCACAUGCUGCUCCUCAUUCUCAGAAUACACCAACACGUCGUCUAAGAAGGCCACACAAUUCUUGUAAAGCAACGGCCCCAGGACGUGGUUCAUAAACGAUUGAAAUGUUGCGGAGCCUGCUUGUAGACCGAAGGGCAUAACUAAGUAUUCAAAUGCCCCUAAAGGGGUGAACAUGGUGGUUUUCCAUUCAUCCCCCUUCCUUAUUCGUAUCAGGUUGUACGCCCCCCUUAGAUCCAGCUUGGUGAAAAUCUUUCCCUUCCGCACCCUUGUCAAAAUGUCGUCAAUCCUGGGCAUCGGGAAGGCCACUGGUUCUGACACUGCAUUUAAGGCCCUGAAGUCACACACCAGUCUCGGCUUGUUCGUGUUUUUGUCCACAAAAACACUGGGCUGCCCCCACCGCCCUGGACUCUCUGAUGAACCCUCUCUUCAGGUUCUUGUCAAUGAACUCUCUUAGCUCCUGCAUCUCUCUGUCUGACAUGGCGUACAGCUUGCCCACAGGGAGCUGUGCCCCAGGGAGCAAAUUGAUUUGACAGUCAAAGGCUCUAUGCGGUGGUAGUUGGUCAGCUUCCCUUUCGCUGAAGACGUCGCGGAGAUCUGCGUAUUGUCGUGGUACCUUCACGUUCUCCGUUACUUCAGUCCCUGCUAGGGUGGCUUGGGCCCCUGCCAAAACCUUUCCCUCUUUGCAGUGUUCUAAGCAAUGUGCUGACCCAAAAGAAACCACUCUUUGAUGCCAGCCCACCAGCGGAUCAUGUAACGCUAGCCAGCUCAUCCCCAAUAUAAUGGGAGCUCCUCCCAAGGUGGCCACAUUAAACGCUAUUAGUUCGGUGUGCCUUGCCACCUUCAUUAUCAUUGGGACGGUCUGCAAGCUGACUUCUCCUCCCAACAGCUCCCUGCCAUCGAUCGUGGUUACCUGCAGGGGGUUGCUUAAAGGGAGCGUCUGUAUCUGGUGUUCAGCUGCAAACUCUUUGCUCAUGAAAUUGCAGGAGCUGCCUGAGUCCAACAGCGCCUUUAUCUUUAGAGGGUGUCCGUUUGGCAGCUCUAGUGUCACUUCUAUCACUAGGGCGGGUUUAGGAGGUUCUGGCGUGGGCACUUUCACUGCUCUUUGGCCUGGCUGCUGUGCCCCGACAAUGGCAGCCAGGCGUUGGCUUUUAGUUGCUCCGGUAUUUUUCCUCUCUUCCCUCCACAGCUCCCACCAUCCCUUGCCAUUCCUUCCUCUGGGGGCAGACUCUGGCAAAGUGCCCUGGCUGUUGGCAGAGAUAGCAUUUCCGGGCGCCUUUUCCCUCCUUUUUUCCCCCUUCACUGGGCUUUGAAACUGCGCGCGCGCGCGCUGUUCCGAUUUCCAUCGGCUCUGCCGGCGGGAAAGUUGGCUCUGGAAUGUCUGGAAUGCGGAACUCCUUCCAACGUUCCCCUUUCCCUUCCCGCCUCUCCAAUGCUCUCGCCUCCUGGCGCGCUCCUAUGGCCAGCGCUGAUUUGGUCAGCUGGUCCAUAGACUCCGCCCCUGGGCGCCCGGGAAAGUUCAUCUUUCACAGCCGAAGAAAGCCCUUCUUCAAAGAGCAUUUGAAUGGGUUCCGCCGAUAAGUCCCACCCCAAUCUGUGUAUCAGCAUGGUGAACUCAGUCCAGUACUCACGUACAGAUCGGCUCCCCUGUUUGCAAGCCAUUAACUGUCUGCGCACCACUCCCUUUUCAAUAUCGCUGGAAAACAUCAGAUCCAUGGCGCGAAAGAACUUCAUCGUGUCCUUUAGGACGUCACUAUGCGCUGCCAUCAGGGGUCUAACCCAGUCUCUCGCCCCCUUUUCAAGAUGCCCAAUCACAAAAGCCACUCGUGAUUCCUCAUCAGGGAAAUCAUCAAACUGCAGAUUGAGGGCAUAUUGCAUUUCUGUCCGAAAGCUAUGAUAGUCUUUGGGCUCCCCCCCAAAUUUCUGCACCAAUCCUGGUACCUUUCUGGCGAGCUGGGUGGCUUUCUCCCUUUGUCUGCAUCUUGAGCCCUCCUCUCCUCCAGCCUCGCCGUCUGCAGCGCCAGCUGGACCUCCAACACCCGGUACCUUUCUUCCAGGCUUGGACCCGCUCCAGCCCCUGCUUCUCCGGUUCCUGCUGGGUUGCUCAUUAUGCCUUCUCCUGCACAAGCUGCGUUCAAAGACUGUCGGAAUGCUGUGAUGGGAAGAUGAGCUGCUUGUGCGUAAAAUCGUAUUCCCUCAGAGUUUGUUCAAGUCCACAAACCUCUGUCUGUGACUGAGCCCCUCUGACAUGGCUCCUCUAGUCACUAGAAGAUUCCGACAGUGGUUGCUUUCGUAAUCGCUUCCAACAUAAAAGCUCCUUAACGGAAACACGUCUUCUGGACUCUCUGCGUGACAGUUUCCGGCGAGGAGUGGGUGUCCCUACAGGAGGUCCGGAAACCUCACCACUGUUUUCGCUGGAAGUAUCUCUGAGCCAUCCCCCCAGCUCCCUUUCCCUCAGUUCAGCUUCUCUCCCCCUGCUGGUUUCCUCUUCAGCUGCUGAGUCUCUUCCAACCUGUCUGAGCCCUUUCACCUCCCUCAGUUCAGCUUCUCUCCCCUUGCUGGUUCCCUCUUCAGCUGCUGAGUCUCUUCCAACCUGUCUGAGUCCUUUCACCUCCCUUCCUUCCGAUGGCAGUUCCCUGACA
This 3042-nucleotide long non-coding RNA is filed under the name Podarcis lilfordi (Lilford's wall lizard). The record is from RNAcentral. Lineage: Eukaryota; Metazoa; Chordata; Lepidosauria; Squamata; Lacertidae.